Molecule: ribosomal RNA, 490 nt
Filed under: uncultured bacterium
Lineage: Bacteria
Description: partial 16S ribosomal RNA
Rfam family: Bacterial small subunit ribosomal RNA
Source: RNAcentral
AUUGAACGCUGGCGGCAGGCCUAACACAUGCAAGUCGAACGGUAACAGGAAGCAGCUUGCUGCUUCGCUGACGAGUGGCGGACGGGUGAGUAAUGUCUGGGAAGCUGCCUGAUGGAGGGGGAUAACUACUGGAAACGGUAGCUAAUACCGCAUAAUGUCGCAAGACCAAAGAGGGGGACCUUCGGGCCUCUUGCCAUCGGAUGUGCCCAGAUGGGAUUAGCUUGUUGGUGGGGUAACGGCUCACCAAGGCGACGAUCCCUAGCUGGUCUGAGAGGAUGACCAGCCACACUGGAACUGAGACACGGUCCAGACUCCUACGGGAGGCAGCAGUGGGGAAUAUUGCACAAUGGGCGCAAGCCUGAUGCAGCCAUGCCGCGUGUAUGAAGAAGGCCUUCGGGCUGUAAAGUACUUUCAGCGGGGAGGAAGGGAGUAAAGUUAAUACCUUUGCUCAUUGACGUUACCCGCAGAAGAAGCACCGGCUAACUCCGUG